GAGGACUGGGUCUUUGCGGGCGAGAUGAGGGUGUCCAUUCAACUGGCCUACAAAGUCCCAGUCCUC
Molecule: microRNA precursor, 66 nt
Filed under: Ictidomys tridecemlineatus (thirteen-lined ground squirrel)
Lineage: Eukaryota; Metazoa; Chordata; Mammalia; Rodentia; Sciuridae
Description: microRNA 193a (ENSSTOG00000021780.2)
Rfam family: mir-193 microRNA precursor family
Source: RNAcentral